CCUACGGGAGGCAGCAGUGAGGAAUAUUGGUCAAUGGACGAGAGUCGGAACCAGCCAAGUAGCGUGAAGGCUGACUGCCCUAUGGGUUGUAAACUUCUUUUAUAUGGGAAUAAAAUGUUCCACGUGUGGGAUUUUGUAUGUACCAUAUGAAUAAGGAUCGGCUAACUACGUGCCAGCAGCCGCGGUAAUAACGAGGAUCCAAGCUUUAUCCGGAAUUAUUGGGUGUAAAGGGAGCGUAGAUGGAUUGUUAAGUCAGUUGUGAAAGUUUGCGGCUCAACCGUAAAAUUGCAGUUGAAACUUGCAGUCUUGAGUACAGGAGAGGUGGGCGGAAUUCGUGGUGUAGCGGUGAAAUGCUUAGAUAUCACGAAGAACUCCGAUUGCGAAGGCAGUUCACUGGACUGCAACUGACACUGAGGCUCGAAAGUGUGGGUAUCAAACAGGAUUAGAUACCCUAGUAGUC
This 460-nucleotide ribosomal RNA is filed under the name uncultured bacterium. RNAcentral describes it as "partial 16S ribosomal RNA". It matches the Rfam family "Bacterial small subunit ribosomal RNA", at positions 338 to 795 of the family's 1533-position model. The record is from RNAcentral.